RNAcentral lists this ribosomal RNA (253 nucleotides) under uncultured bacterium. Its description in RNAcentral is "partial 16S ribosomal RNA". It matches the Rfam family "Bacterial small subunit ribosomal RNA", at positions 524 to 776 of the family's 1533-position model. The record is from RNAcentral.
UACAGAGGGUGCGAGCGUUGUUCGGAAUCACUGGGCGUAAAGCGCACGUAGGCGGAUUUGUCAGUCAGGGGUGAAAUCCCGGGGCUCAACCUCGGAACUGCCUUUGAUACAGCAAGUCUUGAGUUCGAGAGAGGUGGGUGGAAUUCCUAGUGUAGAGGUGAAAUUCGUAGAUAUUAGGAAGAACACCGGUGGCGAAGGCGGCCCACUGGCUCGAUACUGACGCUGAGGUGCGAAAGCGUGGGGAGCGAACAGG